Molecule: ribosomal RNA, 324 nt
Filed under: uncultured bacterium
Lineage: Bacteria
Description: bacterial SSU rRNA
Rfam family: Bacterial small subunit ribosomal RNA
Source: RNAcentral
AAUCAACGCUGGCGGCGUGCCUCAGACAUGCAAGUCGAACGCGAAAGGUUCCUUCGGGAGCCGAGUAGAGUGGCGCUCGGGUGAGUAACACGUAGGUAAUUUGCCUUUGGGUGGGAAUAACAAUCGGAAACGGUUGCUAAUACCGCAUAAUGCAGCGGCUCGACAUCGAGACAGUUGUUAAAGCGGGGGAGUCCUUCGGGACCGUCGCGCCUAAAGAAGAAGCCUCGCGGCGGAGUUAGUCAGUUGGUGGAGGUAAUGGCGUCACCAAGGCGGACGAUCCGUAACCGGCCGUGAGAGGGCGGGACGGUCACACUGACACUUAAA